This 379-nucleotide unclassified non-coding RNA is filed under the name soil metagenome. Its description in RNAcentral is "partial contains 5.8S ribosomal RNA, internal transcribed spacer 2, and large subunit ribosomal RNA". The stretch from base 1 to 120 matches the Rfam family "5.8S ribosomal RNA", at positions 35 to 154 of the family's 154-position model. The record is from RNAcentral.
GAUGAAGAACGUAGCGAAAUGCGAUAAGUAAUGUGAAUUGCAGAAUUCAGUGAAUCAUCGAAUCAUUGAACGCACAUUGCGCCCGCCAGUAUUCUGGCGGGCAUGCCUGUUCGAGCGUCAUUUCAACCCUCAAGCCCCAGCGGCCUGGUGUUGGGGACCGGCGACCUCGCCCGAGCCCGCCCUCCGGGGCGCGUGCCCGGUGCGUCCGCCGCCCCCGAAAUGAAUUGGCGGCCUCGUCGCGGCCUCCUCUGCGUAGUAGCACAACCUCGCAAGCGGGAGCGCGACGCGGCCACUGCCGUAAAACGCCCAACUUUUUUAGAGUUGACCUCGGAUCAGGUAGGAAUACCCGCUGAACUUAAGCAUAUCAAUAAGCGGAGGA